RNAcentral lists this ribosomal RNA (403 nucleotides) under bacterium. RNAcentral describes it as "partial 16S ribosomal RNA". It matches the Rfam family "Bacterial small subunit ribosomal RNA", at positions 355 to 776 of the family's 1533-position model. The record is from RNAcentral.
UGGGGAAUAUUGCACAAUGGGGGAAACCCUGAUGCAGCGACGCCGCGUGAACGAAGAAGGUAUUCGUAUCGUAAAGUUCUGUCCUAUGGGAAGAUAAUGACAGUACCAUAGAAGAAAGCUCCGGCUAAAUACGUGCCAGCAGCCGCGGUAAUACGUAUGGAGCGAGCGUUGUCCGGAAUUAUUGGGCGUAAAGGGUACGCAGGCGGUUUAAUAAGUCGAAUGUUAAAGAUCGGGGCUCAACCCCGCUAAGCAUUGGAAACUGAUAAACUUGAGUAGUGGAGAGGAAAGUGGAAUUCCUAGUGUAGUGGUGAAAUACGUAGAUAUUAGGAGGAAUACCAGUAGCGAAGGCGACUUUCUGGACACAAACUGACGCUGAGGUACGAAAGCGUGGGGAGCAAACAGG